UUAGAAGUUUUUGAUCUGGCUCAGGAUGAACGCUGGCGGCGUGCCUAAUACAUGCAAGUCGAGCGAACGGAUAAGGAGCUUGCUCCUUUGAAGUUANCGGCGGACGGGUGAGUAACACGUGGGUAACCUACCUAUAAGACUGGAAUAACUUCGGGAAACCGGAGCUAAUGCCGGAUAACAUUUGGAACCGCAUGGUUUUAAAGUAAAAGAUGGUUUUGCUAUCACUUAUAGAUGGACCCGCGCCGUAUUAGCUAGUUGGUAAGGUAACGGCUUACCAAGGCAACGAUACGUAGCCGACCUGAGAGGGUGAUCGGCCACACUGGAACUGAGACACGGUCCAGACUCCUACGGGAGGCAGCAGUAGGGAAUCUUCCGCAAUGGACGAAAGUCUGACGGAGCAACGCCGCGUGAGUGAUGAAGGUUUUCGGAUCGUAAAACUCUGUUAUUAGGGAAGAACAAAUGUGUAAGUAACUGUGCGCUGUUGUACGGUACCUA
This 495-nucleotide ribosomal RNA is filed under the name Staphylococcus equorum. RNAcentral describes it as "bacterial SSU rRNA". It matches the Rfam family "Bacterial small subunit ribosomal RNA", at positions 1 to 481 of the family's 1533-position model. Lineage: Bacteria; Bacillati; Bacillota; Bacilli; Caryophanales; Staphylococcaceae. The record is from RNAcentral.